UACGUAGGGAGCAAGCGUUGUUCGGAUUUACUGGGCGUAAAGGGCGCGUAGGCGGCAAAUUAAGUCAGCUGUGAAAUCUCCGAGCUUAACUCGGAACGGUCAGCUGAUACUGAUCUGCUAGAGUGCGGAAGGGGCAAUCGGAAUUCUUGGUGUAGCGGUGAAAUGCGCAGAUAUCAGGAGGAACACCGAUGGCGAAGGCAGGUCUCUGGGCAUUAACUGACGCUGAGGAGCGAAAGCAUGGGGAGCGAACAGG
This 253-nucleotide ribosomal RNA is filed under the name uncultured bacterium. RNAcentral's name for it is "partial 16S ribosomal RNA". It matches the Rfam family "Bacterial small subunit ribosomal RNA", at positions 524 to 776 of the family's 1533-position model. The record is from RNAcentral.